This 493-nucleotide ribosomal RNA is filed under the name uncultured bacterium. RNAcentral's name for it is "bacterial SSU rRNA". It matches the Rfam family "Bacterial small subunit ribosomal RNA", at positions 28 to 534 of the family's 1533-position model. The record is from RNAcentral.
GAUGAACGUUGGCGGUGCGCCUAAUACAUGCAAGUCGAACGGAGACUGUAGCAAUACUGUCUUAGUGGCGAACGGGUGAGUAACGCGUUGGUGAUCUGCCUCGAAGUGUGGAAUAACGUUCCGAAAGGAGCACUAAUACCGCAUGGUCUUCUGGUUUUUAGAACGCCAGAUGUAAAGGAUUUAUUCGCUUCGAGAGGAGCCUGCGUCCCAUCAGCUAGUUGGUAAGGUAAUGGCUUACCAAGGCGAUGACGGGUAGGGGACCUGAGAGGGUGGCCCCCCACAAUGGAACUGAAACACGGUCCAUACACCUACGGGUGGCAGCAGUAGGGAAUAUUAGUAAUGGGCGAAAGCCUGAACUAGCGACACCGCGUGUGCGAAGAAGGCCUCGGUUGUAAGCACUUUUAGUAGAGGAGUGAGGAAGGACGGGUAACUCUACUCGUAAUAAGUACUCGGCUAACUACGUAGCCAGCAGCCGCGGUAAGUCAUACUCGUA